This 391-nucleotide unclassified non-coding RNA is filed under the name Hevea brasiliensis (rubber tree). The record is from RNAcentral. Lineage: Eukaryota; Viridiplantae; Streptophyta; Magnoliopsida; Malpighiales; Euphorbiaceae.
GUGGAAGACAGCGUGGGCCACGUCGUAAGUCUUGAGUUGUUUUGACAGUGGUUGUUCUUCAUCAUCAUGUUUUAAUUAUCUGCCCAUGAUUAAUAGAUUGGACUGCACCACAAGUUUGAGUUGCUACUGGUGCAUGAAUCUGUAAUAAUAAAUAACUUCAUGACUUUAUGAUAUGAAUAUAUAAAAAGCUAUAAAUAAUUUUCUACAGCAAGAAUCUGCUCUUCACUUUAUUUGAAGGUAAAGGUGGCAUAAACCUGCAAUCAAUAUAUAAUUGUUAUGGUCAUUUUUGUACCAUGAAGAAUGGAUCAAUAUGUGUGGUUUUAAUAAGACAAAUCUGUUGACAUCUUGACAUAAUGAAGUAUGUCAAAAACCAAAAGUUCAGUAAAACUAC